Long non-coding RNA from Athene cunicularia (burrowing owl), 2161 nucleotides. RefSeq lists it as uncharacterized. NCBI's taxonomy places the organism in Eukaryota, Metazoa, Chordata, Aves, Strigiformes, Strigidae. The record is from RefSeq and is a predicted model, not a curated record. The transcript has 2 exons.
CGAGAGCUGGAGCGGGAGAGCAGCUACCUGCGGGCCGUGCUGGCUAACCAGAGCGCUCUCGGGCAGCUCCUGAGCCGCUUAGCCGGGAUCCGCGCCGGCGGGCUGCAGCUCAGCACCAGCCUCUUCAGGGACACGGGCAGCCCCCGCCGGCAUCACCACCCCCUCCAGCCUGCCGGCGAGAGCAGCGACCACGACUACGCCCUGCCCAGCUCCCGGCAUCCCAGCCUGGAGGAGGCGGCGGUGGUGACGGAGACGGAGGAGGAGUGGGCGGCCCCCGGCGGGAUCUGCCUCCACGUGGACCGGGAUCAGGUGUCGGUGGAGUUCUGCUCCAUCUGUGCUCGGCGAGCAGCGGCCUCCUUCAAAAUGUAGGGUCAGGUACCUGCUGCAAGUACUCGUGGGGUUCUCGCCCCUAGGGGCCUCGCGUCGUGGCGGAGGAAGCAGGCGAUGGUGCGGAGGAAAAGGAUAAAUACAGUGGUGAUGGGGUGGUAUUGGGGGAGAUGCAGAGGAGGGGAACCUGGUGCUUAAGUGGCCAGGGUAACCAAAAAAAAAAAAAAAAAUUCUCUUGAACGGCACAUUGGGAGCCAGAUGGUGGCCUUGGUUAAAGGCCGUGUAAAUCUGGCGCGUGGACGGUAGUGAUCUGAGCCUGUUUUUUGCGUAAGAGUCGUGCAGAGCUGUGUACAGCAGUGCGAUAAUUAUCGUGCAGACUGACACGCGCAUACACACGCAGAGGUGCCGCCAGAGCCCGUUUGCAGCACUUGGGUGGAAAGAUCAUGCCGACCAGACGCAUGAAGGUGUGCUUGGUUCCGCUUCGCAGUUGCCAGUAAAGAUAACACUGACUACCCGGUCUUGAGUCAGAUAAUGUCUAGCCUGCUUAUCCUGAGGAGCCGAAAAUGCUUAGAAAACCAAACCAAAAUCUUCAUUAAGACAUCGUCACUGGACAGACUUAAGAAAAUAGUAAUGAUCGGCAAAAGAAAGCAUGCAUAUAAAAUUGUACUGCAUCUCAGUUAUACAUUACUAUUAAAACCUCUCUGACAGUUUCUCUUUUAGGUGCUUGCCCUGCCAGGCUCCGUUGUGUAGGGGUUAAAGAACAGUCGUUUUCCACCUCGCAACCUGUGGAUUCAGCUGUGUUGGGGCAGAAGAGACGGGACCAGCUGCUGGCCACAUUUCCUGCUUUAUUUUAAAAGGUAGUAUAAGAAAUGAGAAUAAAGAGGUAACAGGGCUUUUGCUGUCUUUGGUUAAAAAAAAAAAAAAAAAAAGUUGAAUGCUGGGAUCAUUUACUGUCAUCCAAGAUUUUUUUUUUAAGAGACAAUAUCCUAUCAAACAGGUUUUACUCCACUGUAUACAGAAUUCCAUCUGCUCAGGGUAUAUUGCCAGCACAAAGGAGACUUAGUGGGGUAUGUGUUACCUUACACCUCUGUGGUGGCAUCAACAGGACUGUUCAAAGUUUCAGUCUUAAAACUGUGUAACCCUGCUGUAAGUGAUGGGUUACACCAGUGCCACAGGAAUCAAUGUUGACCAUUGAGACCCGUACUGGCUGAUAGAAUGAAAAUAAUUAAGUUAGAUUCAACCUAGGUUCAGUCUGCCUAGCUCAGACUUCAUGAACGUGGUUUAUUUUGAAGUUUAACAUGCCUGAUGAAAAGAGAAACGCUAAUGUAGCAAACAUGGGAUGUUAAAAUGGCAUUUUUAGGUUACUUCAUUGUAGAGGUGUUUUUUAAGUUAAUUUAAAUAUGCAUUCUUUCUUUUUGCAUCACUGCUAAAUGGUAGGGGUCAGGGACAUAGUUCUGCUCUCUUUUGUGAACCUGCACAUCGCUCUAGUCAUGAAACUACCUGUGAGCUGUGUCUGAGAGUAGCUGAUUUUCUGACAUGCAAAAUGAUAUAUACCGGUACAAGAACAAGGUCAAGUCCCAAGAAAGUAAGUGGCUGCAGGCAUUUCUAGUGCCUACUGAAUCAUAUUUAAACCAAAUAGAGGGGAGGAAGUUAUUUGAAAUUCUAACCGACUGUACUAUCUGUAUGGUGUAUUAUUAAUGUAGCUUUUUGAAGUGGAAGCCUUGAAAUGACAUAACUUAAUACUUGAAAAUAUAUUGUAAAUGUUUCUUUGUAUUAAUGUGCCAUCCAGAUAAAAAUACAAUAUCAUAAUAAAAUCAGACUUGUUGAUCUUUCA